This 719-nucleotide ribosomal RNA is filed under the name Cladosporium cladosporioides. Its description in RNAcentral is "mitochondrial SSU rRNA". It matches the Rfam family "Bacterial small subunit ribosomal RNA", at positions 375 to 1172 of the family's 1533-position model. The record is from RNAcentral. Lineage: Eukaryota; Fungi; Ascomycota; Dothideomycetes; Cladosporiales; Cladosporiaceae.
GUGAUAUCUUUUAGUCGGGAUAUCAAUAUAAACGACUAUGUCGUAUAAAGUUCUAGAUAGAUGAUUGAUAAUGACAGUUUUCUAUCUAUAUGUCUUGACCAAAUCUUGUGCCAGCAGUCGCGGCAAUACAAGUAAGACUAGUGUUAUUCAUCUUAAUUAGGUUUAAAGGGUACCUAGACAGUAUUUCUAGCCUCCAAAGGGAACAGAUUUACUAGAGUUUUAUGUGAGAGGAAAAUAUUAGAACCAUUGGAGUAGUGAUAAAAUGUUUUGAUACUAAUGGGACGGAUAACGGCGAAGGCAAACCUCUAUGUAAUAACUGACGUUGAGGGACGAAGGCUUGGGUAGCGAAUAGGAUUAGAUACCCUAGUAGUCCAAGCAGAGAAUUAUGAAUGUUAUAGAUUAAAAUAUUUGGUGUAUAAAUGAAAGUGUAAGCAUUCCACCUCAAGAGUAAUGCGGCAACGCAGGAACUGAAAUCAUUAGACCGUUUNUGAAACCAGUAGUGAAGUAUGUUAUUUAAUUNGAUGAUCCUCGAAAAACCUUACCACAAUUUGAAUGAUAUUUAUUUUUUUUUUUUUUAUUUAAGAUAAAUAUUACAAGUGUUGCACGGCUGUUUUAAGUUAAUGUCGUGAGACUUUGGUUAGAUCCAUUAAAUUAACGUAAACCCUUGCUUUAUUUUACAUAUAUAGAGCAUUUGACCAAUUUAUUGGAUAUGAUAAAAG